UACGUAGGGUGCAAGCGUUGUCCGGAAUUAUUGGGCGUAAAGAGCUCGUAGGCGGUUUGUCGCGUCUGCUGUGAAAACGCGAGGCUCAACCUCGCGCCUGCAGUGGGUACGGGCAGACUAGAGUGUGGUAGGGGAGACUGGAAUUCCUGGUGUAGCGGUGGAAUGCGCAGAGUAUCAGGAGGAACACCGAUGGCGAAGGCAGGUCUCCUGGGCCAUUACUGACACUGAG
This 229-nucleotide ribosomal RNA is filed under the name uncultured bacterium. RNAcentral's name for it is "partial 16S ribosomal RNA". It matches the Rfam family "Bacterial small subunit ribosomal RNA", at positions 524 to 750 of the family's 1533-position model. The record is from RNAcentral.